This is a non-coding RNA of Pelobates cultripes (western spadefoot toad), 240 nucleotides long. NCBI's taxonomy places the organism in Eukaryota, Metazoa, Chordata, Amphibia, Anura, Pelobatidae. The record is from the annotation of a GenBank genome assembly.
GGGGCUCAUGUCUAUUCUCUGGGCCCUAGGCAGCCGUACAAUGCUACCUUAGGUUUAAUCCUGCUUUGUCAUUGUGACCAUUCCAGAGAUCUAUUGACGUUGCUCUAAAUAUAUUGGAGAGAUGCGUAUUUAGUGGUCUUGUCCAAAGCUGCAAGACCGCUGUACCUGAGAUUAUCAGCAAACUCUCACAUACCCCACCCCCGUUUUCAGUUUUGAGCCAGCUACCAUGCUCCUUUACCA